RNAcentral lists this unclassified non-coding RNA (159 nucleotides) under plant metagenome. RNAcentral describes it as "partial contains small subunit ribosomal RNA, internal transcribed spacer 1, and 5.8S ribosomal RNA". The record is from RNAcentral.
UUUCCGUAGGUGAACCUGCGGAAGGAUCAUUAAUAAGUUUGGUGCGGAGCUGCUUCGUCACUUUAGCUCCGUGCACUGUGUGUGCGCAUUCUACACUCCUUUUUACUGACUGAUGUUUGGCAAGGACUACAACUUUUAGCAAUGGAUCUCUAGGCUCUU